CCUAUCUGGUUGAUCCUGCCAGUAGUCAUAUGCUUGUCUCAAAGAUUAAGCCAUGCAUGUCUAAGUCCAAGCUGUGUUCACACGGCGAGACCGCGGACGGCUCAUUAAAUCAGUCGUGGUCCAAAUGGGCCAGUGCAAAUCCUACUUGGAUAACUGUGGUAAUUCCAGAGCUAAUACAUGCAACUGAUAUCCCGAAGGCUGGUGCUUGCUUGUCUUGCGCUUCGCUCCGACGGAUGCUUUUAUUAGACCAAGCCGCUGAGGACUUGAGGGUGUUAAAACCUUCCUGUUCGACUCGUGUGAUGGUGACUCUGGAUAACCAAUUCUGACAAGCGCACGUACUCCUCUUCUGAGCGAGACGGCGCUGCCACUUUCGAGUGUCUGCCUUAUCAGCUAUCAACCGUUCGUUAUGCGCGACCGAUGGCUUUGACGGGUAACGGGGAAUCAGGGUUCGAUUCCGGAGAGGCAGCCUGAGAGACGGCUACCACGUCCAAGGACGGCAGCAGGCACGCAAAUUACCCAAUCCCAGCAAAUGGGGGAGGUAGUGACGAAAUCUAACGAUGCGGGCGCCCUUUCUGGGGCCCCGCAAUCGGAAUGGGCACUUUCUAAAACACCUGUUGAGAACCUACUGAAGGGCAAGUCUGGUGCCAGCAGCCGCGGUAAUUCCAGCUUCAGCAGCAUCUAUUAAAGUUGCUGCGGUUAAAAGGCUCGCAGUUGAAUGUCUGUAUCGAGCGCAGGUCAGGUGGACGUUGGGGCGUGGAAGUACGGGCAGUUGGAUGUGCGUGCUCGCGCGUUGUCACACUCCUUCUCUUCGGAGUUGCCUGUGUGUGUUCUUCGUGUGUCUCGUGUGUUCUUCGGCUUUUCCACACACCCCCGUCCGUGACAAGCCUCCUCGCUCGGGUACAUAACGGGAAUCGGUUAACGGAGUGUAGCUCGAGAUGUGUUGAGUUGGUGGCGUUUGUGCCAUCGGUUUCACGGUCACCUUGAGUAAAUCAGAGUGCUCAAAGCAGUCGUAAGGGCUUUGCGCCCUGUGAACAGUCUUGACGGACUGACUUGGUUUUGCAUGGCAUGUCGGAAGACGACGUCGUGUGCUGGCUCAGAGGAUAAAUCAGUGGUACAAGCCAGCCUCGACGUAAUGAUUAAAAGGGACGGUCGAGGGCAUUGGUAUUGCGAGGCGAGAGGUGAAAUUCUGUGACCCCCGCAAGACCUCCUGAAGCGAAAGCGUUUGCCAAGGACGUUUUCAUUAAUCAUGAACGAAAGUUAGAGGAUCGAAGGCGAUCAGAUACCGCCCUAGUUCCAACCCUAAACGAUGCCAACCAUCAAUCCGCGCGUAGCAUCCUUCUUAACGGGCUCGGCGGGCAGCCCCCCACUCACGGGAAACCAGAGCCUCUGGGUUCCGGGGGGAGUCUGGUUGCAAAGCUGAAACUUAAAGGAAUUGACGGAAAGGCACCACCAGGCGUGGAGCCUGCGGCUUAAUUUGACUCAACACGGGCCAUCUCACCAGGCCAGCACUCUUGUACGAUUGACAGAUUGAGAGCUCUUUCUCGAUUCAGUGGAUGGUGGUGCAUGGCCGUUCUUAGUUGGUGGAGUGAUCUGUCUGGUUAAUUCCGAUAACGAACGAGACUCUCCCCUGCUAACUAGUCGGUUGGAUCUUGAUCAGUGGGUUGCGUGCUGAGUAACUCUCGCUGCGUGCGCGCAUGUGUCGUGUCGUGGGUGGCGUCUUUUGUGGGGCAACCUGCUUGAGCGUCGUUUGCGUGCGGUCGUGUGUGUGUGCGUGGUGUUGGAUGCCUUGGAUCACACUGCACCCCAAGUCCGCCGCUUAUGCUAUAACUCUUCUUAGAGGGAUUCACGGCACUGAAGCCGUAAGAGACUGAGAGCAAUAACAGGUCUGUGAUGCCCUUAGAUGCUCUGGGCCGCACGCGCGCUACAAUGCCGGGCACAGCAGGUGUUCUUCCUGCUCCGACAGAGCGGGUAACCCUCUGAAAGCCAGUGUUUUUGCAAGUGCUUCCUCCCUCGUGGAGUUGCACAGAGGCGUGCUUGGGCCUGGGACUUGCAAUUCUUUCCCACCAACGAGGAAUGCCUAGUAGCGGCGGGUCACUGAGCCCGCUGUGACUCAGUCCCUGCCCUUUGUACACACCGCCCGUCGCUACUACCGAUUGGGUGUACCAGUGAGAGCCUUGGACUGGCGUCCGUUGUCGCUUUCGGUGACAAGCGGGUCCGACGGAAAGAGGUCCGAACUGGUGCACUUAGAGGAAGUAAAAGUCGUAACAAGGUUUCCGUAGUGAACCUGCGGAAGGAUCAUUA
This 2301-nucleotide ribosomal RNA is filed under the name Eulimnogammarus obtusatus. RNAcentral's name for it is "18S small subunit ribosomal RNA". It matches the Rfam family "Eukaryotic small subunit ribosomal RNA". The record is from RNAcentral. Lineage: Eukaryota; Metazoa; Arthropoda; Malacostraca; Amphipoda; Eulimnogammaridae.